Struthio camelus australis is the source of this 2835-nucleotide long non-coding RNA. The record is from Ensembl. Lineage: Eukaryota; Metazoa; Chordata; Aves; Struthioniformes; Struthionidae.
CAGAGUAUUUCUGGGGUGCCUCAGCCUCUUUUCAUGACUAAUGGCUGCAAUAUAGCAGAGCCAGCCUCCUGUGGAGUUCAGGGUCCAAAACAGGUAGAAGCAAUAAAGAGUACACAGAGGAACUGCAAGAACUUCCAAGCUGGAAGGCUUCCAGAAAAGGAUAAGCCAAUGUAGUGUCAAAGACACACCAUGUUUGUGAACUGGAAAUUUUCCUUUAGCGUUUUUAGAGGUAUUCUGUUCAAGCAUGCUGGACCUCAAGAUCUGGAAGAUCAGUCUUCAGUCAGAUUGGAGAAAGGAUGGCUCUGUGUAUGUUCAAGGCAGGAAAAAGGACAUGCUUCAUCUGCAAGGCACUCAGAAAAUCAUAUGGACCAUUCUCACCAAAGAGCUAUGUUCUGUAAGGAGCCUUAAAGUGAUGCUAAUUUAGUCUAAAUAAGAAAUUGUUUUGCAGGUACAUGAUUGUGAAAGGUCCCAAUGUCAUAGAUACCUCCAUCUUGGACACUUGGCCAGAAAUUGAAAAGAGAUGAGUAUCAAAAGAUAUACGCUUUUUGCCUCGAGAGGGAGGAUGACACAAAGAGGAAUAAGAUUACUGUAAAACCUAUUCCAGCUUCCUGGCAUCCUCCAAUUUUAAAUGGCCUAACAGAGAGUGAAUCUUCAAAGAAGACAAAGGAAACGAUUUGGGGAAACUUGGAAAAAUGAUGAUUCAACUGAUGUGCUGAACAGCUUCUCAAACUGUGGUGAGCACGAGUCCAGCCCAGGGACUAAUGACAAAGACAGUAGGAAUUCAUAGAUGAAUCUAUCCCUGUAGGUAGGGGGAAUAAGGAAGAAAAGCAAUACCAAAAUUGGCUACCAUGCCAGAGAGCUGGAUCAGAAGGAAGACUUUCUCAAAGAGAACAGUAGUUUCUCUAUACUCGCUUGCCAACAUGACUUCCAGUUCCAGCCUGAAGCAAACUAAAUCAUUAUCUUUUAAAGACUUAAGUGAUGAGCUAGUCAUAAAAUGAUAUCAGGUCAUACUCACAGGUAGAGUUAAAUUUCUGUUUAGCAAUUUUUGCCUUUUGCUCAUGGUCAUCUGGAAUCAUCAUGGCCAAAAUCAGGCAUAGUUUUCCUAGAAUUACAUUAUCUAGGUGUAUCUACAGUAUUCCUGAAGAGACGCUGUACAGAAAGAGCUCCAGUUCUCAGCAGGUUACACUGAAGUUAUAAAAUAAUAAGGGGAGAAUAUAAUUAAGUAUUUGCUGUGGAAAAAAUAGGCCUAUCAAAAAAUACGUGCUACCCAAAAAAGUACAAGAGGUAGACUUAAGAUACUCCUCUUCAAUACUUCUGGUUUAGUAAACAGAAGGGUUUUUUUUCUUUUACUCUGCUGACAGUGCUGUGAAAUGAAAGCCUGUGUUCCCUCCUGCACAGUGAAGAAAACGCAGCCUGAUAAAUAAUUUGUUCUUUUAUAGAAGCCACUGCAACAUGUUUCUGUGACCCCUGACAAAUAUACAAAAAUCAAGACACUUCUGAGGAAAUUGGUAUGAUCGUAUCUUUGAUUAUGCCAUUGUUCUACCAAUAUAUACACAGUUCAAAAUGAAAUAAUAUAAAAAAGCUGAUUGAAGAAGUUGUUUCAGAAUAACCAAUCACUCAGCAGCAUUAAUCAGCAAAAUUAUACAGAAUUUCAAACUUGUGAUCACAUUUAUCAGUUUCUGUUUCUUUUUGGCACACCAACCAUUUGUAAUAAUGUUUCUAUUACGGAACCAGGCUGUAAACCAAACACCUGAUUUUCUGAAAUCUCCCUUAGGAUAAAGAAAUAUUAUUUUACAGUCUACCAAGAUAAAAAUUCCUUAAAAUGCUUUCCAAAACUUUACACAUAUCUGUAUACACAUGUGAGGUUUUCUUUACAUAGUUUCCUCUGAGACUUAGCAUAGACCUACAUGACCUAAAAUUUAGGAUGCUGAGUUUGGAACUGUGGUUUUUCAUAAUCCUGUGCAAUGCUAAGCAUUAACAAUUCCCACAGCUGGUGAACCAGACUGUUCUGAGAUUUUGUUGUAGAAGAGCAUCCUUUGCAAUACAAAUAUCAGGCGUAAUGAAAUCAGGCAUAAUGGUGGACCUUAACUCUUGAGUUUUAACACAUAUAUUUCAUUCUUUUGGUCAGUUAAAACAAAGUACUGACUGUCUAUUUAAUAACACAGUACCUUUACUGUGGCUGGUAUCGGAAUGAAAAUUGUCACCUCCAGAUUGCCAGCCAGCUCAAGGGAAGUAUAUGGAUUUGUUGCUGUUGAUAAAAAGUUACCAUAUACAAUGAUAGUUGUGGCUAUGAUCCAAUGAUUACUUGUAGACAUAUCAAAUGAGUCAGUGUUAUCAGUUCUUUCCAUGUGAAAUAGACAUUCAUAUGGCGGUAUACAUAAAAUUCACCUGUGCAACUACCAUUAACUGGCUCCAUUAUUGACAGCGUUAGCAAAUGCCUAAAGACUAAUGAGAUGAGAAAACUGCUAUACUUUCACAUCUAGCCCUAAUCACUCUAGAAAAAACAUAAGACAGGAAAUUUGCACUGCCAGUGCCUACGCUAUACUUAUUCUGGAUAUGAAAAGAAGGUCACCUGACACUUUUCUGUAGAAAUGGAAAUUUUCAAACACUUGCCUUUCUUUGGUGCCUGUAAUUAUUUACAAGCACCAUUAAAUGCUUAAAGAACUCAUUGUUACCCACAGAUGAGCCAUGUAGAGUCUUGACCUAAACUGUGCUUAUAGAAUUGGAAUACUCUUUAGAAUUAAAAAAAAACUAUUGACUAAGACCUGUAUUAUCUAUUUCCAUCUCUGACAAAUUUUGUGUAUCCUCAGUAAAUAAAAGUGUUAAGCUUUAACA